RNAcentral lists this long non-coding RNA (492 nucleotides) under Macaca mulatta (Rhesus monkey). RNAcentral's name for it is "lncRNA (ENSMMUG00000041660.2)". Lineage: Eukaryota; Metazoa; Chordata; Mammalia; Primates; Cercopithecidae. The record is from RNAcentral.
GAGAAAGGGCAGAUAAACUGGACUAGAGUUAAACUUCUCCUUUUGUCCAUAGGGCAAAAAAUAAAUAUAUUUAAAUAAUAAACAAAAUUCCAAUGUUCUUUUAUUUUCUUAUUUUUGUAUUUUUAGUGGAAUACCAACUUCAUGUACAUCUGGCUUAUUCAGCACCCAUAAAAUUCAAUGGACCACCAUCCAGACAAAAGGAUAAAAACAGAACACAUCAAGAUAAUGAAUUUUCUUCAAACUAUUCAGGUACAAUGAAAAAUGGAAGUAUUAUCUCAGAAAUUACAACUGAGAGGGAUGAAGAUAUAGCAUAUGCUAUACCUAAAAGAUACAUCAAACAGGAUAUUGGGAAUAUGAAUUGAUGAAAUUUAAUUUACGAUUGUCCUAUAAUGCCUUUUCAUUACAGCACCACACAAAUUGAGGCAAUAAAUGCAUAUUUGAUCAAAAAAGUAUGGCCACUCGUCUUUUAACCAGAUAGAUUGCAAAUGUCAU